This 395-nucleotide ribosomal RNA is filed under the name uncultured bacterium. RNAcentral's name for it is "bacterial SSU rRNA". It matches the Rfam family "Bacterial small subunit ribosomal RNA", at positions 28 to 418 of the family's 1533-position model. The record is from RNAcentral.
GAUGAACGCUGGCGGCGUGCUUAACACAUGCAAGUCGAGCGGUAAGGCUCCUUCGGGAGGUACACGAGCGGCGAACGGGUGAGUAACACGUGAGCAAUCUGCCUUCACUUCGGGAUAACUCGGGAAACCGGUGCUAAUACCGAAUACGACCACUUCACGCAUAGUGAAUGGGUCGGUGGAAAGUUCCGGCGGUGGAGGAUGAGCUCGCGGCCUAUCAGCUUGUUGGUGGGGGUAAAUGGCCUACCAAGGCAACGACGGGUAGCCGGCCUGAGAGGGUGACCGGCCACACUGGGACUGAGACACGGCCCAGACUCCUACGGGAGGCAGCAGUGGGGAAUAUUGGACAAUGGGGCGAAAGCCUGAUCCAGCAACGCCGCGUGAGGGAUGACGGCCUU